GAUGAACGCUGGCGGCGUGCCUAAUACAUGCAAGUCGAGCGAACGGACGAGAAGCUUGCUUCUCUGAUGUUAGCGGCGGACGGGUGAGUAACACGUGGAUAACCUACCUAUAAGACUGGGAUAACUUCGGGAAACCGGAGCUAAUACCGGAUAAUAUUUUGAACCGCAUGGUUCAAAGGUGAAAGACGGUCUUGCUGUCACUUAUAGAUGGAUCCGCGCUGCAUUAGCUAGUUGGUAAGGUAACGGCUUACCAAGGCAACGAUGCAUAGCCGACCUGAGAGGGUGAUCGGCCACACUGGAACUGAGACACGGUCCAGACUCCUACGGGAGGCAGCAGUAGGGAAUCUUCCGCAAUGGGCGAAAGCCUGACGGAGCAACGCCGCGUGAGUGAUGAAGGUCUUCGGAUCGUAAAACUCUGUUAUUAGGGAAGAACAUAUGUGUAAGUAACUGUGCACAUCUUGACGGUACCUAAUCAGAAAGCCACGGCUAACUACGUGCCAGCAGCCGCGGUAAUACGUAGGUGGCAAGCGUUAUCCGGAUUAUUGGGCGUAAAGCGCGCGUAGGCGGUUUUUUAAGUCUGAUGUGAAAGCCCACGGCUCAACCGUGGAGGGUCAUUGGAAACUGGAAAACUUGAGUGCAGAAGAGGAAAGUGGAAUUCCAUGUGUAGCGGUGAAAUGCGCAGAGAUAUGGAGGAACACCAGUGGCGAAGGCGACUUUCUGGUCUGUAACUGACGCUGAUGUGCGAAAGCGUGGGGAUCAAACAGGAUUAGAUACCCUGGUAGUCCACGCCGUAAACGAUGAGUGCUAAGUGUUAGGGGGUUUCCGCCCCUUAGUGCUGCAGCUAACGCAUUAAGCACUCCGCCUGGGGAGUACGACCGCAAGGUUGAAACUCAAAGGAAUUGACGGGGACCCGCACAAGCGGUGGAGCAUGUGGUUUAAUUCGAAGCAACGCGAAGAACCUUACCAAAUCUUGACAUCCUUUGACAACUCUAGAGAUAGAGCCUUCCCCUUCGGGGGACAAAGUGACAGGUGGUGCAUGGUUGUCGUCAGCUCGUGUCGUGAGAUGUUGGGUUAAGUCCCGCAACGAGCGCAACCCUUAAGCUUAGUUGCCAUCAUUAAGUUGGGCACUCUAAGUUGACUGCCGGUGACAAACCGGAGGAAGGUGGGGAUGACGUCAAAUCAUCAUGCCCCUUAUGAUUUGGGCUACACACGUGCUACAAUGGACAAUACAAAGGGCAGCGAAACCGCGAGGUCAAGCAAAUCCCAUAAAGUUGUUCUCAGUUCGGAUUGUAGUCUGCAACUCGACUACAUGAAGCUGGAAUCGCUAGUAAUCGUAGAUCAGCAUGCUACGGUGAAUACGUUCCCGGGUCU
RNAcentral lists this ribosomal RNA (1371 nucleotides) under uncultured bacterium. Its description in RNAcentral is "bacterial SSU rRNA". It matches the Rfam family "Bacterial small subunit ribosomal RNA", at positions 28 to 1381 of the family's 1533-position model. The record is from RNAcentral.